This 496-nucleotide long non-coding RNA is filed under the name Heterocephalus glaber (naked mole-rat). RNAcentral describes it as "lncRNA (ENSHGLG00100040875.1)". Lineage: Eukaryota; Metazoa; Chordata; Mammalia; Rodentia; Bathyergidae. The record is from RNAcentral.
UUCUCCAGUCAUCAGCAGACUUGAUUGAAUCAGUCCAGGCCACAGAGAGCAGAACUGUAAACAGAAAAUUAUGACUGCCAGAGGAAGAGCACCCAAAUCCAGAACAGACAUUUGCUUCAACAGAAGGUAGUUUUACGAGUACAAGGUCCUGGAAUUUUUACAUAUCUGCAAGGCAAAGAGUGGGAAGGUGGAGGAUUCUUUCAUGAGGCCACUCAACAAGAGCUUGAGGGAGGUGGGCCUUAAACUGUAAACUGGGAACCAUCUUCCUACUUUUUUUUUUGGUACCGGGGAUCGAAUUCGGGACUUCAUGCUGAACUACUGAGUUCCUACUCAGCCCGGGAGACACAGAGGACAAGAAAGGAUGAAGGAAUUUUUGGUCUAGAGCAGGAGAGAGUGAGAUCAGAAUCUGCUUUAUGCUGGCCGUCCUCUUCCCCCACCAAUCUCUCCUCCAAUGCAGAACCUGAGAGCUGAAAGCCAGCCAACUGGGGGCACCAAG